AGUGGAUGGGGAGCAACCUAGUUGUGCGUGUGUAAAGGUAGUGCCAAGAAAAGCGAUGAUCAUGUUGAAAAUCAAUUCCCGGUACCCGAAACCGACACAGGUGGGCAAGUAGAGAAUACUAAGGGGCGCGAGGUAACUCUCUCCAAGGAACUCGGCAAAAUGACCCCGUAACUUAGGGAGAAGGGGUGCCACCGAGAGGUGGUCGCAGUGAAGAGGCCCAGGCGACUGUUUAGCAAAAACAUAGGUCUCUGCAAACUCGAAAGAGGAGGUAUAGGGGCUGACGCCUGCCCAGUGCCGGAAGGUUAAAGAAGUUGGUCAGUCUUAGGAUGAAGCUAGCGACUGAAGCCCCGGUGAACGGCGGCCGUAACUAUAACGGUCCUAAGGUAGCGAAAUUCCUUGUCGGGUAAGUUCCGACCCGCACGAAAGGCGUAACGAUCUGGGCGCUGUCUCGGAGAGAGGCUCGGCGAAAUAGGAUUGUCUGUGAAGAUACGGACUACCUGCAUUUGGACAGAAAGACCCUAUGAAGCUUUACUAUAGCUUGGAAUUGUGUUCGGGCUUCCUGUGCGCAGGAUAGGUGGGAGGCGUAGAAGGUAUUCUUGUGGGGAUACUGGAGCCAACGGUGAGAUACCACUCUCAGGAGGCUAGAAUUCUAACUUAAUUAAGGACAGUUUCAGGUGGGUAGUUUGACUGGGGCGGUCGCCUCCAAAAAGGUAACGGAGGCGUACAAAGGUUCCCUCAGACUGGUUGGAAAUCAGUCGAAGAGUGCAAAGGCAGAAGGGAGCUUGACUGCGAGAAGUACAGUUCGAGCAGGGUGGAAACACGGUCUUAGUGAUCCGACGGUGCUGUGUGGAGGGGCCGUCGCUCAACGGAUAAAAGUUACUCUAGGAUAACAGGCUGAUCUCCCCCAAGAGUUCACAUCGACGGGGAGGUUUGGCACCUCGAUGUCGGCUCAUCGCAACCUGGGGCGGAAGUACGUCCCAAGGGUUGGGCUGUUCGCCCAUUAAAGCGGUACGUGAGCUGGGUUCAGAACGUCGUGAAACAGUUCGGUCCAUAUCCGAUGUAGGCGUGAGAAUAUUGAGAGGAGCCUUCCUUAGUACGAGAGGACCGGGAAGGACGCACCGCUGGUGUACCUGUUAUGAUGCCAAUUGUAAACGCAGGGUAGCCAAGUGCGGAGAGGAUAACCGCUGAAAGCAUCUAAGUGGGAAGCCCACCUCAAGAUGAGUAUUCUGGUGUAAGGUCACGGGAAGACGACCCGUAAAUAGGCACGAGGUGGAAGUGCAGAGAUGUAUGAAGCCGAAGUGUACUAAUAGACCGUCGGCUUGACC
This 1325-nucleotide ribosomal RNA is filed under the name metagenome. RNAcentral describes it as "bacterial LSU rRNA". It matches the Rfam family "Bacterial large subunit ribosomal RNA", at positions 1561 to 2925 of the family's 2925-position model. The record is from RNAcentral.